GCAGUCAAGAAUACAAGAGCUCUCGAAUCCACAGCAACAAAAAAUGUUGUCUCAGAGGCGCAUUCUUUCCGAUGAGGAGCCGCGGUUGGUUUCGGGGUGGUUGGUGGUGACGCAGCGCAAGUACGGCCUUUUCCUCGCCGUGGUCGGCGUCACGUCUCUGGUCACGGCCACGCUGUUCGCAUUCGCCGGCAUGGCACAAC
Molecule: long non-coding RNA, 200 nt
Organism: Rhipicephalus microplus (southern cattle tick)
Lineage: Eukaryota; Metazoa; Arthropoda; Arachnida; Ixodida; Ixodidae
Source: RefSeq, a predicted model, not a curated record